Mastomys coucha (southern multimammate mouse) is the source of this 113-nucleotide small nucleolar RNA. RefSeq annotates it as small nucleolar RNA SNORA44. Lineage: Eukaryota; Metazoa; Chordata; Mammalia; Rodentia; Muridae. The record is from RefSeq and is a predicted model, not a curated record. The transcript has a single exon.
AAAAAUAUGUUCAAACAAAAUAUCUCCAACUGCAUGCCAGAGUAACAAUGGAGAGACUUUGACAGCCCAGGUCAUCAUAGUGCCUGCAGCUGCCACUCAGCUUUCCUAUAUAU